This 299-nucleotide ribosomal RNA is filed under the name uncultured bacterium. RNAcentral describes it as "partial 16S ribosomal RNA". It matches the Rfam family "Bacterial small subunit ribosomal RNA", at positions 475 to 776 of the family's 1533-position model. The record is from RNAcentral.
CUAUGCGCCUUGCCAGCCCGCUCAGGUGUGCCAGCCGCCGCGGUAAUACGUAGGGUCCGAGCGUUGUCCGGAGUUACUGGGCGUAAAGCGCGCGCAGGCGGCGGUGCUGGCCCGGCGUGAAAGCCCCCGGCUCAACCGGGGAGGGUCGUCGGGGACCGCACCGCUUGAGGGCGGUAGGGGCUGGUGGAAUGCCUGGUGUAGUGGUGAAAUGCGUAGAGAUCAGGCGGAACACCCGUGGCGAAGGCGGCCAGCUGGGCCGUCCCUGACGCUGAGGCGCGAAGGCGUGGGGAGCGAACGGG